AACGAACGCUGGCGGCAUGCCUAACACAUGCAAGUCGAACGAGACCUUCGGGUCUAGUGGCGCACGGGUGCGUAACGCGUGGGAACCUGCCCUUAGGUUCGGAAUAACUCCCCGAAAGGGGUGCUAAUACCGGAUAAUGUCUUCGGACCAAAGAUUUAUCGCCUUUGGAUGGGCCCGCGUUGGAUUAGCUAGUUGGUAGGGUAAAAGCCUACCAAGGCGACGAUCCAUAGCUGGUCUGAGAGGAUGAUCAGCCACACUGGGACUGAGACACGGCCCAGACUCCUACGGGAGGCAGCAGUGGGGAAUAUUGGACAAUGGGCGAAGGCCUGAUCAAGCAAUGCCGCGUGAGUGAUGAGGGCCUUAGGGUUGUAAAGCUCUUUUACCCGGGAUGAUAAUGACAGUACCGGGAGAAUAAGCUCCGGCUAACUCCGUG
RNAcentral lists this ribosomal RNA (433 nucleotides) under uncultured bacterium. Its description in RNAcentral is "partial 16S ribosomal RNA". It matches the Rfam family "Bacterial small subunit ribosomal RNA", at positions 29 to 507 of the family's 1533-position model. The record is from RNAcentral.